RNAcentral lists this transfer RNA (98 nucleotides) under Metarhizium album ARSEF 1941. It matches the Rfam family "tRNA". From Rfam's summary of the family: Transfer RNA (tRNA) molecules are approximately 80 nucleotides in length. The record is from Rfam by way of RNAcentral. Lineage: Eukaryota; Fungi; Ascomycota; Sordariomycetes; Hypocreales; Clavicipitaceae.
GGCCUGGUGGUCUAGUGGUAUGAUUCUUGCUUUGGGAUCUUCAUCUCGUUAAUCUGUUAUGUUGCAAGAGGUCCCGGGUUCGAUCCCCGGCCAGGCCC